GACGAACGCUGGCGGCGUGCUUAACACAUGCAAGUCGAACGGAAAGGCCCUGCUUUUGUGGGGUGCUCGAGUGGCGAACGGGUGAGUAACACGUGAGUAACCUGCCCUUGACUUUGGGAUAACUUCAGGAAACUGGGGCUAAUACCGGAUAGGAGCUCCUGCUGCAUGGUGGGGGUUGGAAAGUUUCGGCGGUUGGGGAUGGACUCGCGGCUUAUCAGCUUGUUGGUGGGGUAGUGGCUUACCAAGGCUUUGACGGGUAGCCGGCCUGAGAGGGUGACCGGCCACAUUGGGACUGAGAUACGGCCCAGACUCCUACGGGAGGCAGCAGUGGGGAAUAUGGCACAAUGGGCGGAAGCCUGAGGCAGCAACGCCGCGUGCGGGAUGACGGCCUUCGGGUUGUAAACCGCUUUCGCCUGCGACGAAGCGUGAGUGACGGUAAUGGGUAAAGAAGCACCGGCUAACUACGUG
This 468-nucleotide ribosomal RNA is filed under the name uncultured bacterium. RNAcentral's name for it is "partial 16S ribosomal RNA". It matches the Rfam family "Bacterial small subunit ribosomal RNA", at positions 28 to 507 of the family's 1533-position model. The record is from RNAcentral.